This 71-nucleotide transfer RNA is filed under the name Chirocentrus dorab (Dorab wolf-herring). Its description in RNAcentral is "tRNA-Leu (CUN)". The record is from RNAcentral. Lineage: Eukaryota; Metazoa; Chordata; Actinopteri; Clupeiformes; Chirocentridae.
GCCCCCGAAGGAAGAUAGUCGUCCAUUGGUCUUAGGAACCAAGCUCCUUGGUGCAAGUCCAAGCAGGGGCU